GUCUUUGUCCUUGCUUGUAUGUCAAGAUGUCACCUGGCACACCUUUAUCUUUUCCUCUGGAAACGCCCCCUCUAUUUUGAUUGGCUGUUUCUUCAGAUGGAGAACACAAAGAAGGUUGGAGAAGAAGCUACCUCUAACACCUGCAUUGACCUGGUAAACAUAAUGAGAGAGCUAGAUUCCCUUUCAAGGGCCUUGGAUCGUCUGGCACUGCGAACCCAUCAGAGACAAUGUGAUCUGAUUGUUUGUGUUGGCCACCCUGACAAGUUGGCGUCUCUAAAAAUCCAAGAGGCAGUGAAGCAGCAGUCCUCAGAGGUGUGAAUAAAGGAGAACAAGAAGGUGCAACAUCUAACCUUGUUGACCUCCCGAAGAGCAGCUUCAGCUUGGUGUCUUGUCAACUUUCCUCCAUACCAGCUGGAAUCCAAGCCCUGAGCGCACCAUGAUAGAACAGUCAGUUUUGUGUGAGACCUCUUGGUAUCUCACACCCUGGUGAUAGAGGAGGGCAGCAGUGAGAAGGGGUGAUCAAUCACGCUCAGACCCCCCUGAGCCACUCUGGGACAAUACACGAGUUCCCCUGGGGGGUCCUUGUGGCAGAACCCCCUACCUGUGUUUUCUUCUUUUGUCCUGAAUUGGAAACAUACCCUUGUGACAUGUAACUGCCACCAAAUGUGGUAUAAAUAAUAAAAAGAAAGUGAU
Oreochromis niloticus (Nile tilapia) is the source of this 693-nucleotide long non-coding RNA. RefSeq lists it as uncharacterized. Lineage: Eukaryota; Metazoa; Chordata; Actinopteri; Cichliformes; Cichlidae. The record is from RefSeq and is a predicted model, not a curated record. The transcript has 5 exons.